Molecule: long non-coding RNA, 1757 nt
Filed under: Olea europaea subsp. europaea
Lineage: Eukaryota; Viridiplantae; Streptophyta; Magnoliopsida; Lamiales; Oleaceae
Source: RNAcentral
CUUUUUAAACCCAUUUUCCAAUUUUGUACGUAUCUCCUUUUCGCAAACACAUUCUAAACUCAUUUCACACAAAUUAGUGGAAGAACUUGAAGAAUUUCUACCCCAUAAUAACCACUUACCCAUCUCACGAUCGACACCCACACCCUGUCGGAGUACAUUUCAAGUUCAAUAUCCGAUUAUUCGUAUUUGGCUCCAACUUUAAAUCGAGGUAAAUAUCAUUCUUAUUUUUUUAGAUUUAAACGUUUUGAAUAAUUUGUGCUUUAUUUGUAUUAUGGUUGGUUGCAAUUUGAAGUUCAGGGGAAAAAAUUUAUAUGUAGGGUUUCAAUUUAAUAAGUGACCAUAUUAAAAAAAAAAAGAGAGAGAGAGAGAUUUUCAAGCAAUUUUCAUGUAAUGUUCGUUAGAAUUUUUUAGUUUGUUUGAUUUUUUGGUUUAAAAAAAAAAGUCUAGAUUUGUCUCUUUUUUUUCCAUUAUCAUUUGAUGUUACUAUUUUUUGAAUUAGAUUUGUAAUUACGAUUACUUUUUAUUAUUAUUAUUAUUAUUAUUAUUAUUAUUUUAUUUUAUUUUAUUUUAUUUUAUUUUUUUGCUAAUGAAAAAGAGAAAAUAGAUGAAAAAUGUAGUGCACUCUUGUUCAAUGAAUUAAAUUUAUGUUGCACUUGGAAGCAAGAAUGUAAGAAAUUUUAGUACACUCUUGUUUAGUGUUAGUUGUAUGAUUUUGAAGUUUCAUAGAGAAUUUCUUUCCAAAUAUGUUAUUGUUUUUGGAGUUAUCUUUAAACUAAAUUCUUGUUGUAUUGUGUUAUAAAUGUAAUUUUGAGUUUGCAUGAAGUUAGUCUCAUUAUUUAAUUUCUGAAUCAACUUAGUUAUAUUUAUGUGUAAGCUUGUUCAUUUAUUUAUUCAUUUUGAUAUUUUUAUCGGAUCGUUGAUUUAGUUUUGAAUGAAUAAGGAGUUAUGUUUGCUCUGUGAUUAUGUUUUCUCAAAGACUUGAUUAUUCAAAUUAUAAGUACAAUAUUUAAAUGCAUGUGUUGGGAUCAUUUUUUAUCUUUUACUGCCAAUGAGUCGAAUCGGUUUAUGGUCAAUUCAUGUGUCAUUCGGAUGAAAUUUUUGAGUUUAAUUUAAAUGUGGGCUCAAUUUAUAAGUUGAUAUGUUUUUUAAUUUGAUAUAAUGUGGUUCAAUUUGAGGAUUCAAACAUCUGAUUCAUGUUAGCAUAUGAAGAACUUACGUGUAGUUUUUAUGGAAUCCAUCUGUCGAGAUAAACUGUCAUUCUUGACAGUUAUGAUUUGAAAUCCCCGACAGCUGGUUAUUGUUUCUCGAAAAGUUAUGAUACAAUGACAAACUUGUUUCAUUUGCUGUUCUACGUGUGUUACAAUGUAAAUGUAAUACAUAUUAUCAUUUGAUCUUUGGUAAUUGUUCAUGUUAUUGAUUUUUGAAUAGAUUGACAAACUGUGAUGUCAUUAGAGGAGUGCCUAAAGGACACCAUCUUCUAGUAAAGGAGCUGUCUCAGAGUAUCCUUAAGUGCUACCGAUCUAAUUGAAAAUGAAAAAGCAGUGGUGAAGAAGAAGCGACGCUCGAUGUAAAUUUGAAUAUCGUCUGCUUCAAACCGAACUCCAUAAACUAUGAGUGGUAAAAAGAAGAAAAACAUGAAAUAAUCGAAACUUGUUGAAUGGAAGAACAUUGUCGUCCCUUUUUAAAAGGAUAAGAAUAGUGGAACUUUGUAUGUUAUUAAGCUCAAAUAUCUAAUAUUUUUAUUUUGAAGAUGGAAA